RNAcentral lists this ribosomal RNA (253 nucleotides) under uncultured bacterium. RNAcentral's name for it is "partial 16S ribosomal RNA". It matches the Rfam family "Bacterial small subunit ribosomal RNA", at positions 524 to 776 of the family's 1533-position model. The record is from RNAcentral.
UACAGAGGGGGCAAGCGUUGUUCGGAAUUACUGGGCGUAAAGGGCGCGUAGGCGGCCUGUUAAGUCGAACGUGAAAUCCCCGGGCUCAACCCGGGAACUGCGUCCGAUACUGGCAGGCUUGAAUCCGGGAGAGGGAUGCGGAAUUCCAGGUGUAGCGGUGAAAUGCGUAGAUAUCUGGAGGAACACCGGUGGCGAAGGCGGCAUCCUGGCCUGUUCUUGACGCUGAGGCGCGAAAGCUAGGGGAGCAAACGGG